CUUAUCACGAGUGACUGAGGGACGGGCCCGAUGACGUCACGGCAACCGGCAAAAAGCAAGGUGCCAAAUCCCGCAGCGUGCACACCCCAAUGGGAGGCGCUGACAGAUAAG
This 111-nucleotide non-coding RNA is filed under the name bovine gut metagenome. RNAcentral describes it as "SAM riboswitch (S box leader)". It matches the Rfam family "SAM riboswitch aptamer (S box leader)". From Rfam's summary of the family: The SAM riboswitch is found upstream of a number of genes which code for proteins involved in methionine or cysteine biosynthesis in Gram-positive bacteria. The SAM riboswitch acts at the level of transcription termination control. The record is from RNAcentral.